This 240-nucleotide unclassified non-coding RNA is filed under the name soil metagenome. RNAcentral describes it as "partial contains 5.8S ribosomal RNA, internal transcribed spacer 2, and large subunit ribosomal RNA". The record is from RNAcentral.
AACGCACGAGACCUGCGGACCUGCGGAAGGAUCAUUACAGAGUUGCAAAACUCCCUAAACCAUUGUGAACGUUACCUAAACCGUUGCUUCGGCGGGCGGCGCGCCCUCGCGCGCGCCCCUGGGCCCCACCGCGGGCGCCCGCCGGAGGUCACCAAACUCUUGAUAUUAAUUGGCCUCUCUGAGUCUUCUGUACUGAAUAAGUCAAAACUUUUAACAACGGAUCUCUAGAUCGGAAGAGCA